CCCUUAGAUGUCCUGGGCCGCACGCGCGCUACACUGAUGCAUUCAACGAGUUUUACCUUGGCCGAGAGGCCUGGGCAAUCUUUUAAACCUGCAUCGUGAUAGGGAUGGAUUAUUGCAAUUUUUAAUCUUGAACGAGGAAUUCCUAGUAAACGCAAAUCAUCAAUUUGCAUUGAUUACGUCCCUGCCCUUUGUACACACCGCCCGUCGCACCUACCGAUUGAAUGGUCCGGUGAAGCCUCGGGAUUGUGGCCAGUUCACUUUAUUGGGAGUUGGCUGUGAGAACUUGUCUAAACCUUAUCAUUUAGAGGAAGGUGAAGUCGUAACA
Molecule: ribosomal RNA, 325 nt
Filed under: uncultured eukaryote
Lineage: Eukaryota
Description: partial 18S ribosomal RNA
Rfam family: Eukaryotic small subunit ribosomal RNA
Source: RNAcentral